Cyprinus carpio carpio is the source of this 1518-nucleotide long non-coding RNA. NCBI's taxonomy places the organism in Eukaryota, Metazoa, Chordata, Actinopteri, Cypriniformes, Cyprinidae. The record is from Ensembl.
CUAAAGAAACUGCACAAACCCAUCAUAAGGUUCAUGGAGAACUGCAAGACAUCCUCGCCGACCGCCGUUGAGGAAUAAGGGACCCAAGUUGGCUUCAAGGCAUUACUGCUUACAUUGAAGAACCUGCAGUUCAAAGAGGUACCAAAAAUAGUCUUCCAGUUGCAACACCACAAGAAACAUUGCUCAGUCACAUCCAGUCACUUACCUUUGAUAGUGGCAUUGAACACCAACAAGUGCACCCUCAGCACGGGUAAUCGGAGUGCCAGGGAGCGCCACAGGAGUGUAGGUUAGAGCAAAGGUGUAGACAAGCUCAUCCCCAGUCAUCUGUAAAGGACUGAAGUAGUUACCAAGAGGGUUCUCCUCUACACUUAGUGUUCAAAAGGGCAUUUUAACAGCCAUGCCAUAGAACUACUUUUGGUUCCCAAAGCAGCUUUCAAGGAUUAGUUCUUAAAACACUCCCACUAUAAGGAAUGGGAAGGUCCUGUAAAAUGUUACACAUUCAAGUUACAACAAACAAUAAAAGAACCUUUUUUGGUGUACAAAAUCCAGUAAAACUUAAUGGAUCUUACCAUCAGCACACUAUUGCAGUCCUGUAGUUCAUAUUUAAAGAUGAGCACCCCAGAUGCAGAGUCCUCACCAACAACAGGACAGCCUCCCAUAGACAAACCAGAUGGCUGUAUCAGUUGACCAUUGCUAAACAAAUCCUUCUUUACCUCCACAAGAACCUGGCUCUCACUGCACUGAACAGCCACACUACUGGGAGUCAUAGGUUGCCUCAACUGGAAGUUCACCGCCAACUCUCUUUGUACCUCUGGAACGAUGGGAAACUUCCAGUCCAAAGGCUUGACUGGACCUUGCAACAGCUGCUUCUCCUGAGAACCAAGAGGCUCUUGCGCAAAUCCUCUGGAGUCAAGACUCUGAAACUGAGAAGCCUUUUGGAAAGGAUUCAAGAACCCUUGGGAAGAAAGAGCAGAACCUCUGGAAGCUGGAGCUGAUUGUGGCUUCAUGCUGCUUAGACUUUGACCUCGUCUCAAACUUCCCCAUGCACUCUUCAGGUCAAAUGCCACAAUCAUAGCCAACACUAGAACACCUUGCAAAAGACCCAUCUUGACAAACAUUGACACAGUACCCACCAGUGCUUGGCGUUGCCAUUAAGUACAGCUUUGAAUUUAGGUGGCUUCUCCCCUUUCAGCUUGAUUGAUUACCUUUGAUUCUCCUCUGGGCUUGUAGAGUUUAUGCAGUAGCAAAUGAGAACAUUCUAGAGCGGUGGUUCUCAACCACAUUCCUGGAGGACCCUCAUCACUGCACAUUUUGCAUGUCUCCUUAAUCAAACACACCUGAUUCACGUCACCUGCUCAUAAGUAGAGAUUCACAGACUUAAAAUGGGUGUGUCAGACAAAGGAGACAUUCAAAAUGUGCAGUGUUGGGGGUCCUCCAGGAAUGUGGCUGAGAACCACUGUUCUAGAGCAUGUGUGUCAAACUCAGUUCCUGGAGGGCCGGAGCUCUGCAGAGUUUUGU